Molecule: ribosomal RNA, 383 nt
Filed under: uncultured eukaryote
Lineage: Eukaryota
Description: partial 18S ribosomal RNA
Rfam family: Eukaryotic small subunit ribosomal RNA
Source: RNAcentral
CAAUAGCGUAUAUUAAAGUUGUUGCAGUUAAAAAGCUCGUAGUUGGAUUUCUGGUGGGAGCGAUCGGUCUGGCGCUUAGCGCGAGUACUUGCAUCGUCUCCGGCCAUCCUUGGGGAGAGUCUGUCUGGCAUUAAGUUGUCGGGCAGAGGAUCCUCAUCGUUUACUGUGAAAAAAUUAGGGUGUUCAAAGCAGGCUUAUGCCGUUGAAUAUAUUAGCAUGGAAUAAUAAGAUAGGACUUUGGUACUAUUUUGUUGGUUUGCGCACCAAAGUAAUGAUUAAUAGGGACAGUUGGGGGUAUUCGUAUUCCGUUGUCAGAGGUGAAAUUCUUGGAUUUACGGAAGACGAACUACUGCGAAAGCAUUUACCAAGGAUGUUUUCAUUAA